Molecule: long non-coding RNA, 1477 nt
Organism: Papaver somniferum (opium poppy)
Lineage: Eukaryota; Viridiplantae; Streptophyta; Magnoliopsida; Ranunculales; Papaveraceae
Exons: 2
Source: RefSeq, a predicted model, not a curated record
GAAAAUUCAUUCUCUUAUCUUCUUCUUUCUCUUCUAUUUUCUUCUUCUCUUUCUUCUCUUCUUCCCGUUCUUCUCUUGUUGCGAGAAUUUGAAAGAUUAAACGAAAGUUUUGAAAUCGAUAGAAGUUUUAUGUGAUAUUGAGGAUGGAAUUGAGUAUCUGGUGAUGGGUAUUGCGAUUUGAGAUCAAGGAAGAAGAUUUAUAUCUGAUUUCCCAUUCACAGUGAAGAAUUAGGGUGUUGAGAUUGAUGAUGAGUUCUUGUUGAAAUUGAUAAGUUACUCGGGUUUUUGAUGGAGGAUGAAUCGAGAGGGUUGUUGUGUGAUUGGUCCGGCAGAGUUGUGAUAGUGAAGAAUUAUGAGUUAGGGUUUCUGGAAGAAAUCAAAAGAAGAGUUAGAUGAUGAAAUUGAAGGUUUAAAGGAUUAAUUAGAGUAUGGGUUUAUUCUUAAUUGGUGUUUGAUGGAAGUUAUGGAAUUUUUCUGUGAAGCUUCAACGAAUUAGGGUUUCUGCAAGUUGAGAUCUAAUUGAUAAUGAACCAUGAGAAAUUGGAACAUGAUGUUAAUUGGUAGAAUUGGAUUGGGGGAAACGCAAUUCAGUGGAUGUUGAUACUUGGGUAAGUCUCUAAAUUGAUUCAGUUCUAGUAUUUUAAUUUGAAUGGUUUUAAUUGUUGAGAUUGGGUGAUUAUGAAUGAAUAUGAGUUUUAGAUGAAGUAGUAUGAAGAUGUGGUUUUAUGUGUAUGGAUGCUUGCAGGGGUGUAAUGAUUGUUGCAGGACAUGAAUGUUACUUGGGUAUGUCUGAAUUUGUGGGUGGUGCAGAUUUGAUUGUAGAGAAUUAUAAAUAUUGGUUACCAGAUAUGUGUAUGUGUUGGUUUGAAUUAAAAUGGAGUUUCUUGAGAGAUUUUCGUAAAUGGAGGUAUGCUGUAUCAGUAUUGUUGCAAGGAAGGGUAGUUUGAAUUCCAUAUGCUCAUAUAUAAGUUAGUGAUUUGGGAAUUGAGAUUUCAAGUUGUAAUAGUAGUGUUGAAUUCAGACUGAACUUGGUAGUGGUAAUAUUUUCAGAACCUUGAGUUGGGAGAGUAGAAUUUGUUUGUGAAUGAUGUAUAGAAUCACAGUUGGUUAGUCUUUUUGAAAGCCUGCUGCUACUGCAAUUGCAGAUACCUGCAACUGCUGUGCAAAACAAGGAGAAGGAGAAGCAGAAAAAAACUGUUCUAGUGCCUCAAACAGGUGGUGUGGUGUUGUGAAGAAAAGAGUUGAAGAAAUUCUGAAUUGUGGUGCUGCAUUGGUUUGCCAAAGACAAAGACCCAACUGGUUUGUGCAAUGGCUAAAAAGGGGUAAGCCUAAACUUUGGGCUCAACUUCAGCGAAACUAAAGUGUAAACCCAACUGAAUUGUAAACUGUGGGAUUGUUUAAAUUGUAUCAUGGGCUUGUAAUUUUGAUUUAAACUGAACUGUGGGCUCUAAAACUGAAUUUUGGGCCUGUCCUAGAC